AUGGUCAUCGUGGGGUUUUAGUCGGUAAGAGUCCGACACUACCCGGACGCGUCUGGUGGCGCCCGGGUGUCCAUGAGGAUUUCCCCACGUAUAAAAAAAAAAAAAAAAAAAGGUUGGGGUUAGGUUGGGGUUAGGUUGGGGUUAGGUUGGGGUUAGGUUGGGGUUAGGUUGUCAACGUCCGUUGGCUGGGGUGAAACACUCGUUCCCGUUAGAUCACGAAAGUUAAGCACCCCAGGUUGCGGGGCGGUCUGGGAUGGGUGACCGCUCCGUGAUGACGUUGGCGCUUUGGAUUGCGGUGACCAAAUCCGGUUUUUUUUUUCGGAUUCCACCAAGGACCAGGAGAGACUAGAGGGCACCCCAAACCAGGAGGAAGCAGUACGGGCCACCAGGAGGAUGUUCGGGUGGGGAAGUCGGUUUGGGGGACAACCGUUCCACCUGUGGGCGACAUCGUGGUACGCCGACGAGAGUUUCCGGCUGGGUGGGGGCAAGAGCGCCUAGUAGGGAUUGGUGCCCCCGAACGGCGUGUUCUCCCCCCUCCCCCCGAUGAAACCUGCAGAUGGACGAAGCUCGGACGCCAACUGGGGGACCCGGAGGCUGAAAGUAGGCAACGGCGACGUGGCCAGAGGUGGAUGACCUGCCUCUGGCUCCGGAACAACAUCUCGGAGGACAACACCAGCGGCGUCGGACUACAAGCGGUGGUCGUAUUCGCAAGAGAACCUACCCUAAGUCCACAAGACGCCAGGAUGGUCAUCGUGGGGUUUUAGUCGGUAAGAGUCCGACACUACCCGGACGCGUCUGGUGGCGCCCGGGUGUCCAUGAGGAUUUCCCCACGUAUAAAAAAAAAAAAAAAAAAAAAAGGUUGGGGUUAGGUUG
This 873-nucleotide unclassified non-coding RNA is filed under the name Bombus terrestris (buff-tailed bumblebee). The record is from RNAcentral. Lineage: Eukaryota; Metazoa; Arthropoda; Insecta; Hymenoptera; Apidae.